GUUUCGCCAAUGGUAACAUCUCAUGUAACUCCAGUACAACAUCAGACUAGGAAAUUGACAUGGGUGCAGCCUACUGACUUUAUGCAGAUUUCACCAGUUUUAAUUGCCAUCUCUGGUACCGCCAAAAGCCAAAGAGAUCAGGUAAUGCAAUACCAAAGACAGCAGAGUUUUAGACUUGAGAAGAACCUGUCCAUAACUCUUCAGACGCCACAGGAAGACAAAAGAUUCCCAAAAGGUGGAUGUGUGCUCUGUGAGGGCAGUGACUUUCCUGGCUUUCUUUGGUGUUAUAUCCUAAUAUCUAGAAGACGGCAGGGCUUCAGCAGAAAUUUGUUGGAUUAUAGCUGAUAUUUGCUGAGUGAAUGAUGCCAUGCUACUAACAUUGCAGCAAUUUCCUGGCAGCUGCCGUGUGCUUGUGUCCCCAACUUGGCAUUGCCUCAUGACCUGCAGUAAAGAAUAGUGUUUCUUUCUCUCCAUCUUCAGACCACUCACCUAUUCUGCCCUGGAAUUAAUGACUACCCUAUAAAACUGACAGAGAGAAGAACCUCCACUUCAUUACUCCUGUGGCCUAAACAUACCAUGAUAAACUAAACCAAACCCUCAUUUGCUACACAGAUCCUAUUUUCACUGUGAAAUUUAGGAAGGUAGGUCACCUGCUGAGGGAAACAGAUCACUCUAAAAUUUACUCUUUAGCAUUUACUAUCAAUACUCAAUAAAUAUUUAAUUAUGAGAUAGAUACCACAGUUUUGAAAAAUCUCAUAAACAUAAAAAAAUGACUUGUUUGAGGUUUGUUUCUGUAUUGCUGUUGUUGUUUUGACGGUUUCAUUUUGUCACCCGGGCUCCAGUGCAGUGGCACAACCUCAGCUCACUGCAACCUCCACCUCCCAGGUUCAAGCGAUUCUCCUGCCUCAGCCUCUUGAGUAUCUGGGACUACAGGCAUGCACCACCAUGCCCAGCUAAUUUUUUGUAUUUUUAGUAGAGACGAGGUUUCUCCAUGUUGGUCAGGCUGGUCUCAAACUCCCAACCUCAGGUGAUCCGCUCACCUCAGCCUCCCAAAGUGCUGGGAUUACAGGCCAUUUCUUUUAAUUUAUUUCUAUUCAUCAGCUGGCAAUUAUUUUACCCUGAAAAUCUGAUACUGGGUGUUAAACGCUGUUUUCAUCCAUUGACUAUUACUCUAGAAAUGGAUCCCUCUGCAUUAUAAAGAGGUCAGAAACUUUAUGAAGUAUGCAGAUUUUCACUUUUUUUCUUGAGGGUUUCCAUGACCCAUGAGAACAUCCACCAGUCUUUUCCCAAAGGGCCAUAAAUGUGGGGGUGAAAAUGGGCCCCCAAUCCCAUCAACUUUCCAGAACCAUGUGAACUGCGCAAAGGUUCCUGGGGAUGGUUUUGGUGGACUCUCAUCAAUGAUCAUAGUCUAGUGCACUGGGUAAGUCCACGAGUUUAUUCACUGGCCCUUGGGCAGAAUGAGGGUGGGAAGUUUACUAAGACUCACUGACCUUAGGUCUUGGAAUGAGAAUAUCCAGGUAAAAAUCCUGGCCCAGUUACAGAGUAACUGUGAGUUUUGGAAACUUUCUCAGCUUUUCAUGCUUUUGUGAGGUAAAAACACUUACCUUACAGAGUUCUUGUAAGAAACUUAAAGCAACUUUCUGACCAAUACAUUCAUUUUGUAAUUCAGUAAGAACAUCAGAUAAACCAUUUCUAACUCUAACCUAAAAUCUCUGCUGCUCUGGCUCCGGUCCACUCUUCCCGCAGAGGCUGUGAUGGCCUCAUCAUCAUGCUCUGUCCCCACACCUUCCCGAGGCUUCUAUUUUCUGUCUAAGCAAUCCCAGUUGCUUGAGUCUUCCCUCCAGGGCCUUAUCUUGAUUAACUGCUCAUAAUUAAAAUUAAAUUUGAUGAACUGGAACCAAAGCUUUUAGUUGGCUUCUUUUUAUCACUUUGCUCACUUAAUUUAGUAAAAUGCAUAAAAUGGAAAGAGUAUAAUUUUCUACUAAUUAGAGGAAGGCUGAAAAGUAGAGUAAUUUUCCGAAUAAAAGAGACAAACUCUCAGUUCUUAAUUUUCUCUGUAUAUCUGAACUUAGUACUGCAAAAACAAAACACCCUUUGAUGUGUAAAAAUCAGCUCCGAUUGUGAGGAGAUGUAAUGAGUAGUUGCGAAAAAAGUAUUCUGGAAUAUAUUUGUCAUAUACUAGACUACAUUUCUUAUAACUGGAG
RNAcentral lists this long non-coding RNA (2204 nucleotides) under Papio anubis (olive baboon). RNAcentral describes it as "lncRNA (ENSPANG00000038240.1)". The record is from RNAcentral. Lineage: Eukaryota; Metazoa; Chordata; Mammalia; Primates; Cercopithecidae.